GGGUCAGUAGGUUGGUCGUGCCACCGGUACGUACUGGUCUCACUGAUUCCUCCUUCCUGAAGAACCGUAAUGCCAUUAAUUUGGUGUUGCGGGGGAACAGGACUGUUACUUUGAAAAAAUCAGAGUGUUUAAAGCAAGCUAACGCUUGAAUACAUUAGCAUGGAAUAAUGAAAUAGGACGAUCGAUCCUAUUUUGUUGGUUUCUAGGAUUGACGUA
RNAcentral lists this ribosomal RNA (216 nucleotides) under Glomeromycotina sp. RNAcentral's name for it is "partial small subunit ribosomal RNA". The stretch from base 40 to 216 matches the Rfam family "Eukaryotic small subunit ribosomal RNA", at positions 686 to 864 of the family's 1831-position model. The record is from RNAcentral. Lineage: Eukaryota; Fungi; Glomeromycota.